This 299-nucleotide small RNA is filed under the name Niastella populi. RNAcentral describes it as "5' ureB small RNA". It matches the Rfam family "5' ureB small RNA". The record is from Rfam by way of RNAcentral. Lineage: Bacteria; Pseudomonadati; Bacteroidota; Chitinophagia; Chitinophagales; Chitinophagaceae.
CAUGAUCUAUCUGUUGCGGACAAAUGAAAUGAAUAUGCGAAUCGAUACCACCGGCAGUUGCAAUGAGGCCUGCGCCGCCAUGCACUUCGGUAGCCGCGCCGAUGACCAGGCUGGCAUCCACGCCAUCCAUGGUAUCGGGGUUGCCUGCUUUGCCAAUGCCCACGAUCUUCCCGUCUUUGAUACCGAUAUCAGCUUUUACUAUACCCCAAUGAUCGAUGAUCAUUACACUGGUGAUCACCAGAUCAGGUACGCCUUCAUUGCGUGUGGCGCGGGCAGAUUGCGCCAUGCCGUCGCGUAUG